RNAcentral lists this ribosomal RNA (139 nucleotides) under Escherichia coli. RNAcentral's name for it is "partial 16S ribosomal RNA". It matches the Rfam family "Bacterial small subunit ribosomal RNA", at positions 1 to 131 of the family's 1533-position model. Lineage: Bacteria; Pseudomonadati; Pseudomonadota; Gammaproteobacteria; Enterobacterales; Enterobacteriaceae. The record is from RNAcentral. RNAcentral also lists the same sequence under 1 other name.
UUAAAUUGAAGAGUUUGAUCAUGGCUCAGAUUGAACGCUGGCGGCAGGCCUAACACAUGCAAGUCGAACGGUAACAGGAAACAGCUUGCUGUUUCGCUGACGAGUGGCGGACGGGUGAGUAAUGUCUGGGAAACUGCCU